UACAUACUCCCUCCAUGCGGAAUUACUAGUCCAAGAAAUGAAUGUAUCUAGAUGUAUUUUAGUUGUAGAUACAUCCAUUUUUGUGACAAGUAAUUUCGAACGGAGGGAGUACUAC
Molecule: non-coding RNA, 115 nt
Organism: Triticum urartu
Lineage: Eukaryota; Viridiplantae; Streptophyta; Magnoliopsida; Poales; Poaceae
Source: Rfam